RNAcentral lists this ribosomal RNA (495 nucleotides) under uncultured bacterium. Its description in RNAcentral is "partial 16S ribosomal RNA". It matches the Rfam family "Bacterial small subunit ribosomal RNA", at positions 28 to 507 of the family's 1533-position model. The record is from RNAcentral.
GACGAACGCUGGCGGCGUGCCUAAUACAUGCAAGUAGAACGCUGAAGGAGGAGCUUGCUUCUCCGGAUGAGUUGCGAACGGGUGAGUAACGCGUAGGUAACCUGCCUGGUAGCGGGGGAUAACUAUUGGAAACGAUAGCUAAUACCGCAUAACAGUAGAUGUUGCAUGACAUUUGCUUAAAAGGUGCACUUGCAUCACUACCAGAUGGACCUGCGUUGUAUUAGCUAGUUGGUGAGGUAACGGCUCACCAAGGCGACGAUACAUAGCCGACCUGAGAGGGUGAUCGGCCACACUGGGACUGAGACACGGCCCAGACUCCUACGGGAGGCAGCAGUAGGGAAUCUUCGGCAAUGGACGGAAGUCUGACCGAGCAACGCCGCGUGAGUGAAGAAGGUUUUCGGAUCGUAAAGCUCUGUUGUAAGAGAAGAACGAGUGUGAGAGUGGAAAGUUCACACUGUGACGGUAUCUUACCAGAAAGGGACGGCUAACUACGUG